Molecule: RNA transcript, 2093 nt
Organism: Monomorium pharaonis (pharaoh ant)
Lineage: Eukaryota; Metazoa; Arthropoda; Insecta; Hymenoptera; Formicidae
Exons: 7
Source: RefSeq, a predicted model, not a curated record
CAUGUUUCACAAAUUUCAGUUUGGGAACAUUGAUUUCGUCGUGACGGAACUAACCUUCAGACGAAACUAACCUUGAAAAUACCUCCCUGUUUUGAUUUUACUUGGAAGGAGGUAGUUCAAUGUAGCAGGUUUAAUUAAUUAAGAAAGAAUGGGAUGCGACGACGACGAAACGCAUAAUAUCCAGUUUAAAAAGAAGAAGAAGACGAAACCUUUAAGGAAACGCGAAGCUUCUCGGUUUGAGCGAGGGAGAGAAAAUGUCUAAGGAGAAAGUCGAGGAAACAAAGAUUAUUCAGGAACUCCGCGAGAGACCGACUGGCGUCGAUACUGUUGGUUUGGCGCUCGGAGAAAGUGUUGUAUCCAAUGUGUUAAUGUCGGAUCCCUUUAAUAUGAAAACCAGAGGAAAAUAUGACUGUGCUGAAGAAUGGUGAAGAAUAUAAGCCGAAUGACAUAUACGACACUAGCAUUAGAACAUAAUUUAACAUAGAGACCAAUAAACGCAACGAAGAAUGAUCAAGUAUAUAGAAAAAGAAUUGUCAAAGCACAAGAGUAAAAAUAAUAAUGAUGCAGCGAAUAGUACAAAUAAUGAUAAGGGAUCAUAUUGCUUUCCAGAGGAAGCAGCAUUGCAUACGAUACUGGAACAUUUGAGGCAGAGCUUGACCAAUCGUAGUGAGAAAAUGCUUUUGAAUCAAAUGCUAUCUGGUAUUUCAGAAGUUGAUCUUGGCACAUAUUGUACAGUUUUUAAAACAAAUUAACAUUGAAGCUACAGAGGUAAAAUUUAAACUUCUUUGGGAUAGACAAAAAAAAGAUGGACCUUCACAGUUUGUUCCUGCAAAUAUGGAUGUGAAUUUUGUACAACACAACAGAUGUAUGAAUUUUAUUCUCUUUGUUAUUUUUCAUAGAUAGGAUUGGAUUACUAUACCAGUCAAUGAACAAAUAGAAAAAACUUAGUAUAUAAUUACCAUUUUCAAGUAAAAAAUAUUAUUUUAAUUAAAUUGAUAGUUUAAAUUAAAAAAAAUAUUUACAAUUUAUUAUUUUAAAGUCUUAUUCUAAUAUUGUUCUUAAACAAUUAUCUACUGAUAAUUGUUUCGCAACUGCUGCAGUGAUCCUAUAUAUACAUGAAAUACACAUGAUACGUAUAGUAUUCCUUAUCAAAAAUUUAUUAGCUACAUUAACAUUUACUAACUACGCUUUCUUUGUUUUAUAUAUUUAACUUUUUCAUGUUAGAUAUAACUUUGUUCUGUCGAUUAAUCAUUUUGUUCUUUUUCCGUCAACCUUUUUUUGGUGACUAGGAGGAAAGCCAGCAUAGCCACGAUGUCUCGGCCAAUGGGUAGCACACAUAUGACAAAGAUAAAUUGUCUUGUUUUUAGCUUUAAAUUUUCAUUUUUAUAGAGUUUGUAUUUCUAUGGGAUUUUUUAAUGUGGUUAUUCUCUUACGUUCUGCACUACUAACACAAUGCGCAUAAAGAUUACCUGUAUUUAUUUUUUGUUUUUUUUAUGUUGUAUACAUUUUUUUGUCUUGUGCUUUAUACAGAACAUCAAUAGGCAGCAAAAUUCUAUUUCCAGACAUAUGACUUGCAGGAGGCAAUCUUUCAGCUCUGAAUCCCCAAAAUUGGAGAUCAAAAAACUAGAUCGUAUCGAGGUAUUUUCGAACAAACUGAAUCUUGUCGUAGCUCGAGGGAAGAAAAUAACACGUGACUGAAUCAUUCAAACAGCCAAAAUACAAUAAAUUAUCGCAACAAGCGAUAACGAGGUUUGACGGACAUGAAGGAAAGCAAGAGACGGAGGCAGUUUCUCCGAUUUCUCGAAGUUUUUGAUAAUGAAAAUAUUUAUUCUGAGAGAAUAUUAAGUUAAUUAAUUUUUUGUUUAAUUUCUUUUUUAUUAUUUUAUUAAGUAUAAGAUUGUUAACGUAAUUUUUUCACCACAAAAUCGUCGCAUUCUUUCCAAUUAAAACAAUGAAGAAAAAGACUAAUAUGAGUUCUAAUAUUGAGUAUUUUCUUUUUUUUUUGGCGAUUUGUAGUAAUGAACCAUGUAGUAAUUCAUGCUUGUCAUAAUCAUCCAUUAAAUAAACUAAUCGACUAUGUGUUUAAUUAUGUA